UACGUAGGGGGCAAGCGUUAUCCGGAUUUACUGGGUGUAAAGGGAGCGUAGACGGCGGUGCAAGCCAGAUGUGAAAGCCCGGGGCUCAACCCCGGGACUGCAUUUGGAACUGUGCUGCUAGAGUGUCGGAGAGGCAGGCGGAAUUCCUAGUGUAGCGGUGAAAUGCGUAGAUAUUAGGAGGAACACCAGUGGCGAAGGCGGCCUGCUGGACAGAAACUGACGUUGAGGCUCGAAAGCGUGGGGAGCAAACAGG
This 253-nucleotide ribosomal RNA is filed under the name uncultured bacterium. RNAcentral describes it as "partial 16S ribosomal RNA". It matches the Rfam family "Bacterial small subunit ribosomal RNA", at positions 524 to 776 of the family's 1533-position model. The record is from RNAcentral.